This 74-nucleotide transfer RNA is filed under the name Lactobacillus delbrueckii. RNAcentral's name for it is "tRNA-Glu". It matches the Rfam family "tRNA". Rfam says of the family: Transfer RNA (tRNA) molecules are approximately 80 nucleotides in length. The record is from RNAcentral. Lineage: Bacteria; Bacillati; Bacillota; Bacilli; Lactobacillales; Lactobacillaceae.
NNGCCCGUUGGUCAAGUGGUUAAGACACCGCCCUUUCACGGCGGUAACAUGGGUUCAAAUCCCGUACGGGUCAU